RNAcentral lists this small RNA (113 nucleotides) under Methylobacterium sp. Its description in RNAcentral is "Guanidine-I sequence". It matches the Rfam family "Guanidine-I riboswitch aptamer". From Rfam's summary of the family: This family represents a conserved RNA structure found upstream of the ykkC and yxkD genes in Bacillus subtilis and related genes in other bacteria. The function of this family is unclear although it has been suggested that it may function to switch on efflux pumps and detoxification systems in response to harmful environmental molecules. Lineage: Bacteria; Pseudomonadati; Pseudomonadota; Alphaproteobacteria; Hyphomicrobiales; Methylobacteriaceae. The record is from RNAcentral.
CGAGUUGAUCGCUAGGGUUCCUGCAUCGAAGUUUCGAUGUGAACGGUCCGAGAGCGGUCGCCGCGGCGGGAGACAUCCGCCCGGAUGCACGGCGGGAUAAAAGCCCGGGAGAC